RNAcentral lists this ribosomal RNA (584 nucleotides) under uncultured bacterium. RNAcentral describes it as "partial 16S ribosomal RNA". It matches the Rfam family "Bacterial small subunit ribosomal RNA", at positions 355 to 1375 of the family's 1533-position model. The record is from RNAcentral.
UGGGGAAUUUUGGCAAUGGGCGAAAGCCUGAUCCAGCAAUGCCGCGUGUGUGAAGAAGGCCUUCGGGUUGUAAAGCACUUUUGUCCGGAAAGAAAUCCUUGGCUCUAAUACAGUCGGGGGAUGACGGUACCGGAAGAAUAAGCACCGGCUAACUACGUGCCAGCAGCCGCGGUAAUACGUAGGGUGCAAGCGUUAAUCGGAAUUACUGGGCGUAAAGCGUGCGCAGGCGGUUUGCUAAGACCGAUGUGAAAUCCCCGGGCUCAACCUGGGAACUGCAUUGGUGACUGGCAGGCUAGAGUAUGGCAGAGGGGGGUAGAAUUCCACGUGUAGCAGUGAAAUGCGUAGAGAUGUGGAGGAAUACCGAUGGCGAAGGCAGCCCCCUGGGCCAAUACUGACGCUCAUGCACGAAAGCGUGGGGAGCAAACAGGAUUAGAUACCCUGGUAGUCCACGCCCUAAACGAUGUCAACUAGUUGUUGGGGAUUCAUUUCCUUAGUAACGUAGCUAACGCGUGAAGUUGACCGCCUGGGGAGUACGGUCGCAAGAUUAAAACUCAAAUGAAUUGACGGGGUCAUAGCUGUUUCCU